UGGGGAAUCUUCCGCAAUGGACGAAAGUCUGACGGAGCAACGCCGCGUGAGUGAAGAAGGUUUUAGGAUCGUAAAGCUCUGUUGUUUAGGACGAAUGUGCCUUAUGCGAAUAGUAUGAGGUAAUGACGGUACUAAACGAGAAAGCCACGGCUAACUACGUGCCAGCAGCCGCGGUAAUACGUAGGUGGCAAGCGUUGUCCGGAAUUAUUGGGCGUAAAGGGAGCGCAGGUGGGAAAAUAAGUCUGUUUUAAAAGUGCGGGGCUCAACCCCGUGAUGGGAUGGAAACUGUUUUUCUUGAGUGCAGGAGAGGAAAGUGGAAUUCCUAGUGUAGCGGUGAAAUGCGUAGAUAUUAGGAGGAACACCAGUGGCGAAGGCGACUUUCUGGACUGUAACUGACACUGAGGCUCGAAAGCCAGGGUAGCGAACGGG
This 429-nucleotide ribosomal RNA is filed under the name uncultured prokaryote. RNAcentral's name for it is "bacterial SSU rRNA". It matches the Rfam family "Bacterial small subunit ribosomal RNA", at positions 355 to 776 of the family's 1533-position model. RNAcentral also lists the same sequence under 1 other name. The record is from RNAcentral.